RNAcentral lists this ribosomal RNA (1440 nucleotides) under uncultured organism. Its description in RNAcentral is "SSU rRNA". It matches the Rfam family "Bacterial small subunit ribosomal RNA". The record is from RNAcentral.
GCUUAACACAUGCAAGUCGAGGGGCAGCAUUUUAGUUUGCUUGCAAACUGAAGAUGGCGACCGGCGCACGGGUGAGUAACACGUAUCCAACCUGCCGAUAACUCCGGGAUAGCCUUUCGAAAGAAAGAUUAAUACCGGAUAGCAUACGAAUAUCGCAUGAUAUUUUUAUUAAAGAAUUUCGGUUAUCGAUGGGGAUGCGUUCCAUUAGUUUGUUGGCGGGGUAACGGCCCACCAAGACUACGAUGGAUAGGGGUUCUGAGAGGAAGGUCCCCCACAUUGGAACUGAGACACGGUCCAAACUCCUACGGGAGGCAGCAGUGAGGAAUAUUGGUCAAUGGGCGCGAGCCUGAACCAGCCAAGUAGCGUGAAGGAUGAAGGCUCUAUGGGUCGUAAACUUCUUUUAUAUGGGAAUAAAGUUUUCCACGUGUGGAAUUUUGUAUGUACCAUAUGAAUAAGGAUCGGCUAACUCCGUGCCAGCAGCCGCGGUAAUACGGAGGAUCCGAGCGUUAUCCGGAUUUAUUGGGUUUAAAGGGAGCGUAGGUGGAUUGUUAAGUCAGUUGUGAAAGUUUGCGGCUCAACCGUAAAAUUGCAGUUGAAACUGGCAGUCUUGAGUACAGUAGAGGUGGGCGGAAUUCGUGGUGUAGCGGUGAAAUGCUUAGAUAUCACGAAGAACUCCGAUUGCGAAGGCAGCUCACUAGACUGUCACUGACACUGAUGCUCGAAAGUGUGGGUAUCAAACAGGAUUAGAUACCCUGGUAGUCCACACAGUAAACGAUGAAUACUCGCUGUUUGCGAUAUACAGUAAGCGGCCAAGCGAAAGCAUUAAGUAUUCCACCUGGGGAGUACGCCGGCAACGGUGAAACUCAAAGGAAUUGACGGGGGCCCGCACAAGCGGAGGAACAUGUGGUUUAAUUCGAUGAUACGCGAGGAACCUUACCCGGGCUUAAAUUGCAACAGAAUAUAUUGGAAACAGUAUAGCCGUAAGGCUGUUGUGAAGGUGCUGCAUGGUUGUCGUCAGCUCGUGCCGUGAGGUGUCGGCUUAAGUGCCAUAACGAGCGCAACCCUUAUCUUUAGUUACUAACAGGUCAUGCUGAGGACUCUAGAGAGACUGCCGUCGUAAGAUGUGAGGAAGGUGGGGAUGACGUCAAAUCAGCACGGCCCUUACGUCCGGGGCUACACACGUGUUACAAUGGGGGGUACAGAAGGCGGCUACCUGGUGACAGGAUGCUAAUCCCAAAAACCUCUCUCAGUUCGGAUCGAAGUCUGCAACCCGACUUCGUGAAGCUGGAUUCGCUAGUAAUCGCGCAUCAGCCAUGGCGCGGUGAAUACGUUCCCGGGUCUUGUACACACCGCCCGUCAAGCCAUGAAAGCCGGGGGUACCUGAAGUACGUAACCGCAAGGAGCGUCCUAGGGUAAAACUGGUAAUUGGGGCUAAGUCAU